GCCAGGCGUUGUGGCGGGCGCCUGUGGUCCCAGCUACUUGGGAGGCGGAGGCAGGAGACUCGCUUGAGCCCAGGAGUUGGAGGUUGCUGUGAGCUGUAAUGCCAUGGCACUCUACCCAGGGGGACAGCUUGAGGCUCUGUCUCAAAAACCAACAAACAAACAAACAAACAAAAAAAAAGAUAGAGUUUCCUAUGUCGCCCUCGGUAGAGUGCAGUGACAUCACAGCUCACCAGCAAUCUCCAACUCCGGGGCUUAGGUGAUUCUCCUUCC
Molecule: small RNA, 270 nt
Filed under: Otolemur garnettii (small-eared galago)
Lineage: Eukaryota; Metazoa; Chordata; Mammalia; Primates; Galagidae
Description: Metazoan signal recognition particle RNA (ENSOGAG00000030322.1)
Source: RNAcentral